AUACGUAGGCGGCAAGCGUUGUCCGGAAUUACUGGGUGUAAAGGGAGCGUAGGCGGGAAGACAAGUUGAAUGUUUAAACUAUCGGCUUAACCGGUAGUCGCGUUCAAAACUGUUUUUCUUGAGUGAAGUAGAGGUAGGCGGAAUUCCUAGUGUAGCGGGGAAAUGCGUAGAUAUUAGGAGGAACACCAGUGGCGAAGGCGGCCUACUGGGCUUUAACUGACGCUGAUGCUCGAAAGCGUGGGUAGCAAACAGGAUUAGAUACCCUGGUAGUCCACGCUGUAAACGAUGAAUACUAGGUGUUGGGAGACAAUAGUUUCUCGGUGCCGCAGCAAACGCAAUAAGUAUUCCACCUGGGGAGUACGUUCGCAAGAAUGAAACUUAAAGGAAUUGACGGGG
This 396-nucleotide ribosomal RNA is filed under the name uncultured bacterium. RNAcentral's name for it is "partial 16S ribosomal RNA". It matches the Rfam family "Bacterial small subunit ribosomal RNA", at positions 523 to 918 of the family's 1533-position model. The record is from RNAcentral.